UCUACACGUUGCUUCUCUCUAUAAAUACAAUACCUGUAUCGGAUUAUAUUCCUCAUCAAGCUUCUUCAUUCAUAAAAAACCUUACCUCUCUCUGUGAGGAUUGAUCAACGUUAAUUGAGAGAACCUUGGAUUAAUUGUGAGAAGAAAUAUGAGUUCUGCAAGCAUCAACAUCCAGAGCAUUCUUUGCCCUACCACUAGGCCUCCUCCAAGGACUCAGGACUCUAAUAACUCGACAAGAUCUGGCACUCACAUCCUAACUUCCAAGGAUCAUUUUUCCAAGAGAAGAUGAUGACUCUUUUCAUUCCGUUCCUUUCCCCAGAUCCAUGAAGCGUACGUUCAUCGUUGGUAAUGGAGUUAAGUGGUUCGAUGUAAAGGAAAAAUGAUUAAUGAAUGUCGUCGCAUCUGUAGGGUUCAUCAUCAUGAUAAGAUUGAUUAUGUUCUUUAUUCUUUGUUCUCUUUCUUAAGUUGUCCAUCUUUUCAUAAAGCUGCUUAAUUCUUGUAUCUGUUUUCUGUUUCCUUGUACUUUUUGUUUGCUUAUUGUAAUUAAUAAUUCAUCAUCGAAACACACUGGGAUUAUAAGUUUCGUGCGCGUAUCCUCAAAUUUGUCCAUUAUGUAUAUCGCUCAGAAAGUCAAAAUACAAAACUACACAUACAAUUCAA
Long non-coding RNA from Prosopis cineraria, 660 nucleotides. RefSeq lists it as uncharacterized. The record is from RefSeq and is a predicted model, not a curated record. The transcript is spliced from 2 exons. Lineage: Eukaryota; Viridiplantae; Streptophyta; Magnoliopsida; Fabales; Fabaceae.